Long non-coding RNA from Peromyscus californicus insignis, 415 nucleotides. RefSeq lists it as uncharacterized. The record is from RefSeq and is a predicted model, not a curated record. NCBI's taxonomy places the organism in Eukaryota, Metazoa, Chordata, Mammalia, Rodentia, Cricetidae. The transcript is spliced from 3 exons.
CUGAGUCAUCUUGUCCUGCAUGACUUGGACCUGGACUGGUGCAAGGAGAGAAAGAAGAAAGGACUGACAGACAUAUAGAAAACCUGGGAUAGAGUGGGCAAACUGCACUCGGAUGGAGCAGCAUCAAUUAUGCAACAAUCCUGAAAGUUGAAGUCAGAAAAAGGUGUCAGAUACUCUGAAGUUGGAGUUUCCCUAGACCUGAAGUUACAGGAAGUUGUGAUCCAUCAAAUGUGUGCACUGGAUACUGAACCCAAGUCCUCUGGAAGAGCAUCAUUCACUCUUAACUACCGAGCCAUUUUACCAGUCCUGAGUCUAUGGAUCUUAACCUAGCAGGUACCCGAUGCUGUUUUCCUUUAUAUGAAGCAUACAUGAGAAAGCUUGGAUAACUAUGAACCUGAUACUAGAUAGCCCAAGG